RNAcentral lists this small RNA (169 nucleotides) under Pseudomonas putida. RNAcentral's name for it is "Manganese sequence". It matches the Rfam family "Manganese Mn2+ riboswitch aptamer (yybP-ykoY)". Rfam says of the family: This RNA was originally discovered in E. coli during a large scale screen and was named SraF. Lineage: Bacteria; Pseudomonadati; Pseudomonadota; Gammaproteobacteria; Pseudomonadales; Pseudomonadaceae. The record is from RNAcentral.
CCUUGUUGGGGAGUAGCCUGCUCCUGACCCUUGGUCAUGAGCGUUCGCGUCAACAUUCUCGGCAGCAGCCGUGGCGUGAACACCUUCUGGUUGGCGAGACCAACGAUGCAACCAUGCCUGGAGUCGGGCGUGUGGUUGCGUCGUUGACUCAUAGCCCGACUGGAUAGAA